This 643-nucleotide ribosomal RNA is filed under the name uncultured Actinomycetes bacterium. RNAcentral's name for it is "bacterial SSU rRNA". It matches the Rfam family "Bacterial small subunit ribosomal RNA", at positions 232 to 885 of the family's 1533-position model. The record is from RNAcentral. Lineage: Bacteria; Bacillati; Actinomycetota; Actinomycetes.
CGCGGCCUAUCAGCUUGUUGGUGGGGUGAUGGCCUACCAAGGCGACGACGGGUAGCCGGCCUGAGAGGGCGACCGGCCACACUGGGACUGAGACACGGCCCAGACUCCUACGGGAGGCAGCAGUGGGGAAUAUUGCACAAUGGGCGAAAGCCUGAUGCAGCGACGCCGCGUGAGGGAUGACGGCCUUCGGGUUGUAAACCUCUUUCAGCAGGGAAGAAGCGAAAGUGACGGUACCUGCAGAAGAAGCGCCGGCUAACUACGUGCCAGCAGCCGCGGUAAUACGUAGGGCGCAAGCGUUGUCCGGAAUUAUUGGGCGUAAAGAGCUCGUAGGCGGCUUGUCACGUCGGGUGUGAAAGCCCGGGGCUUAACCCCGGGUCUGCAUUCGAUACGGGCAGGCUAGAGUGUGGUAGGGGAGAUCGGAAUUCCUGGUGUAGCGGUGAAAUGCGCAGAUAUCAGGAGGAACACCGGUGGCGAAGGCGGAUCUCUGGGCCAUUACUGACGCUGAGGAGCGAAAGCGUGGGGAGCGAACAGGAUUAGAUACCCUGGUAGUCUACGCCGUAAACGUUGGGAACUAGGUGUUGGCGACAUUCCACGUCGUCGGUGCCGCAGCUAACGCAUUAAGUUCCCCGCCUGGGGAGUACGG